Molecule: long non-coding RNA, 7148 nt
Filed under: Elaeis guineensis (African oil palm)
Lineage: Eukaryota; Viridiplantae; Streptophyta; Magnoliopsida; Arecales; Arecaceae
Description: long non-coding RNA (EGUI_LNC059292)
Source: RNAcentral
GCAAGAAACCCUAGGGUUUCUUGCUCCUGGGGCAUGGAGAAUAGCCGAAGAGAGAGGGAGAAGAGAGAGAGAGACUUGGGAGAAAGGGUUUUCGUAUUCCUUGGCUUAAUCAAACCUAUACAGUACAUGUAUAUAUAAACACAGGGUCAAGUGACCCAAACCCAAAACUCCCUUGACCAACUCUAUGGGAGAUUAGGUUAACCCAAGCCCAUGUAUACCCAUGACUUGACCUAAUCUCACCUAUCCUGGAUCCAGACCUGGCCCAUAAAGAGUUGGUCCCUUAAGGCCCACAUGACCUAGACCUCAAGAACCCGAAAGGCCCAUAGCCUUUCAACCUAGGGCCCAACUAGCCCUAAAGCCUCCAUGAAGCCCUCAUGAAUGAUGGACCUUGGUCUUAGCCUUGGUCUCCUGGGCCUUGGGCACACCACUUGGAUCACAACACUUAGGGGAUGCAUCCGACUCUCAUUUCUCUUGGAAGCGAGUUGCCCAGCCUAAAACACAUAGAUAAUUUUUGAAACAAAGAUGUUUCAUUCAUUGAGUUUAGGUUUAUUCAACAAGAAGAUCUAUCUAAAUGAUGAUACACUUGGAGAUUGGCCAAAUUCCAUGUCCAAGGUAUAAGCAUUCCAUCAAGAUGCUCCAAAUAGUAGGUUCAGAGGUAGACAACCUCCAUCACUUGGUACAGCCCUUCCCACUUUGGUGUGAGCUUGCUUUGCUCUAUGGGUUGCAACACCUCAAUCUUUUGGAGUACCAAAUCCCUAUCGAAAGAACAUAAUUUUCACUUGAGAAUUAUAAUGUUGAGCUACUCAUUGCUAAUAAGUUGCCUUCUAGAUUUAAGCUCGCUCCCUCGCUUCUUUCAAUAGGUCGAGGUUGGCUCAGUGGUCCUCUAGGUUUUGUAGCUUAUUGAAGAACUCCACCAUAUAGGAUGGUAAGCCAAUCUCCAAUGGGAUUAUCGCUUCUAAGCCGAAUACGAGGAUGAAGAGCAUUUCUCUUGUUGGGGUUAGAUGUGUAGUAUGGCAUCCUAAAUGAUGCUAUAUAGCUCAUCCACCAAAAUAUUUUGAGUAAAUUACAAAAAUCUCUUUGAGGUUUUCAUUUAUUAUACUUACAUCCAGUAGUUUGUAAAACCUACAUUUACACCCACAUAAAUUAACACGAUUAGUGAAACCAUUUAUAUAAUAUAAAAAGAUAAAAAUAUCCUUAAGAUCUGUUGGGAUUUGGAUGCAUAGUAAAAUUAAAUUUUUAAAAAAAAUUUAACAUGCAGCCACAAUUAAAACAUGUGAUCCGAACCUCAAUCCCAAAAUCACCUUGAUGCAUUCAAUCACAUACAAAUGACAUAGCAUAUAAAAGAGAGAUUAGAAAUGUUAUACUAAAUAGGAAGAUCCGAGCUGCUCGACAAUCAGUAUCCUCGAGACAUCCAAGCGUGUGCCCUCUAAUGGUGAUCCACACAGACCUCGAUCUAGGACUCUCUCUAAUCUAGAUUCAUUAAAUUUUCUUUUCAAAAAAAUCAGCAGCUACUCCUUUCGAUAUAUCACCAACUCUUGAUGAUUUUCACACUCCCUUCUUCCUUCUCUUGGACAUGUAAAUCCUGAUGUCUCUUAGCCCUUUUAGCUGUCCAACACUUGGACAUUAGGAACUACCCUUUAGAUCUAAAAUAUGAUCUAUUAGAUCCAACCCUUUGGAUCUGACUUUUGAUCACUUUGAUCCAACACUUGGAUCAAAUUUUUAAAUUAAUUGGAUGCACCCAAAUCCAUAGCCAUUCAGCCCCUUCAUUUGAGACCCAAAUCAUGAGUCAACAAGUAGCCAUGCCAGGAUCCUUAUCUCCCCACAACCGCCCAUCCCUUGGGUGUCAAAAAUAGAAAGAAAAAAAUCCCUUUGUACAUGUAAGAUGGAAGAGUUCUUCUCUCAGAAGGACUCCUUCCUUUGGCACACAAGCAUAAGCAUGAAGACCCUCUUCACGUGGGGAUAAGAAGCACAAAGAACUUCUUUCUUUUGUGUGGAUUUUUGCUUCUGAUGACCAACACUUGGAUGCCAGAAACAUACAAAAGGGGCAUCAGAUAUCUUUCUCCAAAAGGGAUUCCUACUAAGGUAUUUAGAAUCCAAAAAGAUAAGCACCACAAAAACCAUGGACUCUUAUCCUUAAAUAGGAAUCAGAUGGAGCAAGUGUUAACAACCUUUUAUGGCAUCCAACCUUAAAAUGCACAAGCCAAGAGAUGCAUGAAAACAAUUUUUCAUGCAACAUAAAAUAGGAAAAAUGUGUGGACUCCUGGGAUGGUGUGCAAAGUUCCUUCUCUCAGGACUCUUAGUUAAGGGAUGCACCAAACAAUUUAGUGCAUGAUAUUCCAUGCUAAAACCCAAGAGUCGCAUGAAGACUUCCUUAUCAGAUAAGGAUUCUUCUCUGGUGCCGCGCCAAACAUUUUGGCACUUUGGUUUUCCCAUGAAGAAAUGAGAAGGUGUGGAAGGAAGUUUAGGAGGUGUGGACUCCUCCUUUAAGGCAUUAAAUCCUCUCUUGUGUCCAACCAUUGGACACCCAAAAAUCAAAGAGCCAUGGUUUCAAUCCAAAUAGGGUUUGAACCAUUCAAAACCCAAUUAGAAGUCCAAAAAAUCUGAUCUUUGACUAAUCAAAGCCCAAUGCCAAAAUUAAAUCCAGUCAAAUUGGGGAUUAGGGUUUAAACACAUGCUAGCAUGCUUGACUCAAAUCUAUUUAGGAUUUCUAUCAAAUCUAAUUCAAUUAGGUUCAACAAGACCUAAUCAAAAAUCCUAGAUCAAUUUUCUUUUAUGUGUAACCCAUUGGGUUCCAUAUUUAGCCAGUAGUAGAUUGAGUUUAUGUGCACCUAAUCCAAUUAGGUUCAAGAUAUAUUGAACCCAAAUCCAUCAAUUGAUCAGAACUCUUCUAACUAAUUUGUUGAAUUAAACUCCUUCAAUUUUUUGAGACCUAUAAGUCAAGAUUGACGUCUAGUAAUGUAUCAUGAUUAUCCAAAAGAUAUAAAAUUUGAUGAAAUAUCAAAAUUAUCCUUCUGUGGUGAGUUAUCAUGCAAUUUAAUCUUUCGAUCACACAACAUCCUAGAUAGGCUAUGGGCAUAAAAAUAUGUCAAGCCUAAAUACCUAUCCAUAUAUAUCCUGAUCUGAUGAUGAUGACUCGAUUGAUGAACUAGUAGAAACUCUUUUCUACUAUUCAUCCCUACUUUGGUCAGAGAUUCUCUGAGUCAUCACCCUAUGAGACUGCAUAGGAUGUUCUCUCCUCUUACAAGGAGUGACCGAUUUCUUAUUGACCAAUCACAACCUUCAUGUAUACUUCACCACAUCCAGAACAUCCCACACAUGUCUCAAAGAGUCAUGCUAGAGUAUGAACCAAAGUAUGGAUCUACAUACACAACGUACUACGGUGAUCUCAGAUCAAAGGAUUACUUACACCACUCCCAUUGGAGAAUUAUUUGUUGACAUACUAGUAAGAUUCCAUCAGAUAUUCUUUCUAUGGAUCAGUUCAGUGAACUUAUCUCUAAUGAGCACCUACAUCCUUGUAUUAGUAUCAGCAUACAACUGAUUAUAAAAUCAGUCACCUUCUCUGUCGAGCAUACCUAGGAUGUACUAGUCUUACCGACAUCAUCGAUUUCCGACUUGAUGAUCCUAUGACUGAAAAUAUUUUAGACUAGGACUAUCAAGAUUUUAGGUUUCACUGGCAUGAUCUCAUCAUAGCCCUAAAACCAUUGUUGUAGACUCUCCAUAAGUAGAUUUGAGAUAGUUUGUAAGUCUUGAACUUCACAAAUUCAAUUAUCCUCUCACUACCAGUGGCAUGCCUACUGACAAACACUUUUGUGCAGUAGGAUAGUAGAAGUAGUAUCACAUACUCUUCUUAGGAUAACCUACAAAUCUACUCUUAUUUGAUCUAGUAUGAAAGCUUAUGUAUAUUAACUCUUUUCACAUAAGUUGGGCAAUCUAUCUUUUUACUUUCUAUAUCUCAUAUAGAGUACUAGUAACAGAUAUAGAUGGUACCUCAUUCAUAAUAUAUGCAACAAUUUUUAGAAAAUAUUUCUAGAAUUAGAUUGGAAGGUCUGUGAAGCAUAAUAUAGACCAUACCAUAUCUUAUAUGGAGUGUCCAUCUCUGGAUUGAGGUGUUAUUAGCUUUCAAACUUCCAUAUGUAUGAGGCCUAAUAGCUCGUUUCCUAUCCCCAUAUCCAAUAAAUAGAGAUUAGGUCAUUUUUAUUUAGUUUCCAUAUUCCUUGCAAUCCUACAACAACUUGCAUAAGUGAAAACUGUAGGAGGUAUCAGAUACCCAAGAAUUAAAACUGAAGUACUCGAUGAUAAAUUUAUUUGUAUCAAAUACAAACCUCUAGCAAAUGUAACCUUUACAUUUUACUACUGCUUCACACUUGCAAGUUAACUUUUGCAAUUUUCUUUCAAAUACUCAAUAUUACUACAACAGAAAUAGGUACCUUAGGCGGAGACAUUCUUCAUCUUCUUCUCCUUGAUGAUGCUAUCCAAAAAAAAGGAAUCAGAGAGUAUUUGCAGGAUCAAAUCCUAGCUCAGCUCACCAUCCAAUACAAAAAUCUAACUGACUUAAUCGCAUGAUCAAGUCAAUCAGAAUACACAUGACAGUCAUACUGUCAUAUCAUCAUAUCUCAUAUGUGAUUUUUUCUUCUUUAUAGCAUCAUCCCUGAUCUAAUCGAAAUCAGGAGAAUGAAGAAUAUAAGAGACUUUCUCUUAGAUAAGAACUAUUCUCAGGUUUCUCAAUCAGUCCAUAUGGUUUAAUUUGGUCAACAUAUUGGCAUCAAAUAUAUCAUGCAGUGAUAGUAAAGAUGCAAAAUAAAUAUAGAUAAGAAUAAAAAAUAAAUGGACUACUCAUGAUAACAUGUACAAUUUAGAUGAGGUCUUUUAUCUAAUUGUGUCUCUCACUUAUUUGAUGAAUUUCAUAGCCCUCAAGUAUGAAAAAUAAGAAAUCCUAUCAUUAGAUUUUUAAGUGGGAUUGAGAUCUCAAUUCUUCACAAAAGUUUUGUGGAUAACACAAUAAAUUUUUAUGAGUUCAAGGAUAGGUAACUCUUUACCAAUUGCAUCUCAUACAACUCUCAAUAAAAUUUUUAUCUCUAAAAUACUUAUAGUCUUGUGGAUAGCACAAUAAACUAUAGUAUUUUAGUUAAGUCAUAUCCUUCAUUUUUAUAUGAUCAUAUCUAAAUAAUACUAUCCUUAUGAAUAGCAUAACAAAGUAGUAGUACCCAAAUAUGCCAUAAAUAUCACUAAGUCAACAUCAUAUCAAAUUCUAUAGUCAGUUUUGUGGAUAAUACAAUAAACUCACUAUAGUUUUUGAUAUACUCUAUUGGCUUAGUACAAGCUAAAUAUUUCAUAAGCAUCAAUAUGCACUAAGUCAACAUCACAUCAAGCUCUAUAGCAAGUCUUGUGGAUAGCACAACAAACUCACUAUAGUUUUUGAUAUGCUCUAUUAGCUUAGCAUGAAGGAAGGCAUGUAUAGUAUUCUUAACACUUCACCAUUAUAACUUAAUAUAAUUUUAAUGAAGAACUUGGGUCUCAAGUACAUUCAUAAUAUAUAAAUCCAUCAAAUAUAAUUUAUAUUUAAUUCUAACUACCAGCAUAUAAGAGCAUGUAAAAGAAAACGGAUGGUUAUAGAUUUUUCUAAUGUAAUUCAUCCGAACCACUAGAUGGAUUAUGGAUCUAAUCCUAGGUGCAUUACAGACUGAACCAUCUCAUGAUCGAUCUACAUGCACCUCUGCUCUCUAAUUGUCUGGUAGUUCAGUCUUCAUCUCCAUGAAGACUUCUAUGAAUACUCCAUCUUUAUCCAAAAAUAAAUAAAAUAAUUUUUAUCUAUUUUUAAAUAAAAUUUUUUAUCCUUAAUUUUACAUUAACAUGUAAAAAUUUCAAUCAAUAGUUGAGAACAUUAUAAAGGAAUAGAAAGAUACAGCUGAAAAUAUAAUACAUCAAGGGUUACCUAGCCUCUAUUGCAACUAUUGCAGACACAUCUAUACAAUCAGCCAUCAUAGAGACAUUCGCAGAUACAUCCAUCAUAUUGGUGUAUUUAGUCCAUAACCAUCCAUCAUGCAAUUUAUAAUAUUUACAGGAAGCAUAAAAAUAAAUAACCAUGUUCUUCUAAUUGUGAUAUCAUUCAUGAAUAUAUCAAUCAAGAUGUUUAAAAUAUGGGUACAAGAUCCAUCUAGGAUUUUUGAUUCGGAGUUAAUUCUUGAUCCAAUUUCAGUUAUAGAUCAACCACAUAUCAUCCUUUUAAGUUAAGUUAACUAAUUCUUAAACAAACUCCAAUCAAAUUAGGUUUGCAAAGAUUUGGCCAACUGUAACUCAAGUCCUAUUCAAAUUAGGUUAAUGACAAUUUGAUUAACUUUAAUUGAAUAAAAUUUUUAAUCCAAUUAGAAUUAUGAAUUUGAUUUGAUCUACAAUCAUAAACUCUAAUCAAAUUAGACUAAUGAUUUGUAGUCAAAACAAAUCCAUCGAUAAAAAUCCUAAACAAAAUUUGAAGCAUCCCUUCCAUGAUCUAAAUUUUUUCAGCCACCCAGAUACCUAGGUCAGGAACCAUGAUGGGAGACUCCACCAUGACCAAUGAUCAAUCUAUGGUGGCUGACCUUGGAUCUAGGGUGUGUGCAUCACAUGCCACAAUCCUACGCCUUGUGCAUCAUAUGCACAAGGGAGUAAUUCCAUGAAAAUUUUAGAUCAACAAAUCUUACCUAAACUUGUCACACAAGUCCUAAGGGCAUGGAAUUUCAAGUGAUGGUUAUGAUCAUGGACAAGAUAAUAAUUAUUAUUUUACCAAGGAUGCUACAAACUAGCAAUUAAACAUCAUUCAAAAUUCUAAUUUUGACAUAUCAUGAAUUGGAUCUAAUCCAUAUCACAAUAAUAAUAUGUCGUUUGAUUAAAUCAAUCAAGGAUGGCUCUGAUACCACCGUUGAGAUUCGAAUGUGCAGCAAAAUUAAAUUUUUUAAAAAAAUUUAACAUGCAACCAUAAUUAAAACAUAUGAUCCAAAUCUCAAUCUCAAAAUCAUCUUGAUACAUUCAAUCAAACACAAAUGACAUAGCAUAUAAAAGAAAGAUUAAAAAUAUUAUACCAAUCAGAAAGAUCCAACCUAUCUAGCAAUUGGUAUUCUCAAGGCAUCUAAGUGUGUGUCCUCCGAUGAUGAUCCACACGGACCUCGAUCUAA